CACCAUUUUCCUCUUCCUCAAUUUCCACCAAAGGUUUAUCCAUCAUUCCCAUUUCCACCAAACACACCAUCACCUACUCCUGUUUAUGACCCACCAGUUGUUGAGACUCCCCCUGUUCCAGUAUACAAUCCUCCUCCGGUUGUUGAGACUCCCCCUGUUCCAGUAUACAAUCCUCCUCCGGUUGUUGAGACUCCCCCUGUUCCAGUAUACAAUCCUCCUCCGGUUGUUGAGACUCCCCCUGUUCCAGUAUACAAUCCUCCUCCGGUUGUUGAACCACCACCAGUUUACAAUCCUCCUCCGGUUUACAAUCCUCCUCCUGUUUACACACCAACACCAAAGCCAGAACCACCAGUAGUCAAGCCUCCUUGUGACCCAAAACCAAAGCCACAGCCACCUGUCUACAAACCUGCUCCCAUUCCGGUUUAUAAGCCAAAGCCAAAGCCGCCAGUCUACAAGCCUGCUCCCGUCCCAGUUUACAAGCCAAAGCCAAAUCCAGAGCCUCCAGUCUACAAGCCUGCUCCCAUUCCGGUUUAUAAGCCAAAGCCAAAGCCACCAGUCUACAAGCCUUCUCCCAUCCCAGUUUACAAACCAAAGCCAAAUCCAGAGCCUCCGGUUUACAAGCCUGCUCCCAUUCCAGUUUAUAAGCCAAAACCAAAACCGCCUGUUUAUAAGCCUGCUCCCGUUCCAGUUUACAAACCAAAGCCAAAGCCACCCGUUUACAAGCCUGCUCCAGUUCCGGUUUACAAGCCAAAGCCAAAGCCGCCAGUCUACAAACCGGCUCCGGUUCCAGUUUACAAGCCAAAACCAGAGCCACCGGUUUACAAGCCAGCUCCGGUUCCGGUUCCAGUUUACAAACCAAAGCCAAAGCCGCCAGUCUACAAACCUUCCCCUGUUCCAGUUUAUAAGCCAAAGCCUGAGCCACCGGUCUACAAACCUGCCCCUGUUCCAGUUUACAAGCCAAAGCCAGAGCCACCGGUUGUCAAGCCUCCUUGUGACCCAAAACCAAAACCAGAGCCACCUGUCUACAAGCCUGCUCCCGUUCCUAUUUACAAACCUAAGCCAGAGCCGCCAGUCUACAAGCCUUCUCCAGUUCCAGUUUACAAACCGGAGCCAAAACCGCCUGUUUAUAAUCCUUCUCCUGUUCCAGAUUACAAUCCAACACCAAAAUCACCAUUGCCUCCGGUAAUAGACCCACCUUCACCAAAGAAACCUUGCCCACCAUUUUCUCUCCCAAAGCUUCCUCCUUUGCCCACCAUUCCUCCAAAGUAUUUCCAUCAUCACCCCAUCCUAGGAAAUCAUCAUCAUUUGCCCACCAUUCCUCCAAAAUAUUUUCAUCAUCCCAUUCCUUCCCUACCUCCUAAGUACUCUCAUCCUUAAUUAAGACUUUGCAUGCUAUCAACAAACAAAUAAAGACUUCAUGAUUGGAAACAAUUUGAGAAGAUUAUGCAUAGAGAUUGAUAGAUCCGGCAAAGCGAUUAGGAUUUCGUUU
Molecule: long non-coding RNA, 1489 nt
Filed under: Lactuca sativa (garden lettuce)
Lineage: Eukaryota; Viridiplantae; Streptophyta; Magnoliopsida; Asterales; Asteraceae
Description: long non-coding RNA (LSAT_LNC002306)
Source: RNAcentral